RNAcentral lists this ribosomal RNA (549 nucleotides) under uncultured bacterium. Its description in RNAcentral is "bacterial SSU rRNA". It matches the Rfam family "Bacterial small subunit ribosomal RNA", at positions 359 to 896 of the family's 1533-position model. The record is from RNAcentral.
GAAUCUUGCGCAAUGGGAGCAAUCCUGACGCAGCAACGCCGCGUGGGUGAUGAAGGUCUUCGGAUCGUAAAGCCCUGUCGGAGGGGAAGAUGCUUGUGCAUGCUAAUAGUAUGCGCAGGUGACGGUACCCUCAAAGGAAGCACCGGCUAACUCUGUGCCAGCAGCCGCGGUAAUACAGAGGGUGCAAGCGUUAAUCGGAAUUAUUGGGCGUAAAGGGCAUGUAGGUGGCGAUUUAAGUCUGAUGUGAAAGCCCUGGGCUUAACCUGGGAAUUGCGUUGGAAACUGGAUAGCUAGAGUCGGACAGAGGGCCGUGGAAUUUCCGGUGUAGCAGUGAAAUGCGUAGAGAUCGGAAAGAACACCCGUGGCGAAGGCGGCGGCCUGGGACCAGACUGACACUGAGGUGCGAAAGCAUGGGGAGCAAACAGGAUUAGAUACCCUGGUAGUCCAUGCUGUAAACGAUGAGAACUGGAUGUGCGGAGGGCAAAGACCCUUUGCGUAUCGAAGCUAACGCGAUAAGUUUUCCGCCUGGGGAGUACGGUCGCAAGAUUA